UAAAUGCAAGUCGAGGGGUAGCAGGAUUAAGCUUGCUUAAUUGCUGACGACCGGCGCACGGGUGCGUAACGCGUAUGCAACCUACCCUAUACUGGGGUAUAGCCCGAAGAAAUUCGGAUUAAUCCCCCAUGGCAUCCUGAAGCGGCAUCGCUUUCGGGAUUAAAGGUUACGGUAUAGGAUGGGCAUGCGUCCCAUUAGCUAGAUGGUGAGGUAACGGCUCACCAUGGCGACGAUGGGUAGGGGGCCUGAGAGGGUGGUCCCCCACACUGGUACUGAGACACGGACCAGACUCCUACGGGAGGCAGCAGUGAGGAAUAUUGGUCAAUGGGCGAGAGCCUGAACCAGCCAUGCCGCGUGCAGGAAGACGGUCCUAUGGAUUGUAAACUGCUUUUAUU
This 395-nucleotide ribosomal RNA is filed under the name uncultured bacterium. Its description in RNAcentral is "bacterial SSU rRNA". It matches the Rfam family "Bacterial small subunit ribosomal RNA", at positions 52 to 440 of the family's 1533-position model. The record is from RNAcentral.